GAUGAAGAACGCAGCGAAAUGCGAUACUUGGUGUGAAUUGCAGAAUCCCGUGAACCAUCGAGUCUUUGAACGCAAGUUGCGCCCGAAGCCAUCAGGUUGAGGGCACGUCUGCCUGGGCGUCACAUAUCGUUGCCCAAUGCCUAUUGCAGUGCAAUAGGAAUUUCUAGGGCGAAUGAUGGCUUCCCGUGAGCGUUGUUGCCUCGCGGUUGGUUGAAAAUCGAGUCCUUGGUAGGGUGUGCCAUGGUAGAUGGUGGUCGAGUUAGAACGAUACCGAUCAUGUGCAUGCUCCCCAAAAUAUGGCCUCUAUGACCCACACGCGUCUUUUGACGCUCAUGACGAGACCUCAGGUCAGGCGGGGCUACCCGCUGAAUUUAAGCAUAUCAAUCAGCGGAGGA
This 395-nucleotide unclassified non-coding RNA is filed under the name soil metagenome. RNAcentral describes it as "partial contains 5.8S ribosomal RNA, internal transcribed spacer 2, and large subunit ribosomal RNA". The stretch from base 1 to 122 matches the Rfam family "5.8S ribosomal RNA", at positions 35 to 154 of the family's 154-position model. The record is from RNAcentral.